This 494-nucleotide ribosomal RNA is filed under the name uncultured Rikenellaceae bacterium. Its description in RNAcentral is "bacterial SSU rRNA". It matches the Rfam family "Bacterial small subunit ribosomal RNA", at positions 887 to 1382 of the family's 1533-position model. The record is from RNAcentral. Lineage: Bacteria; Pseudomonadati; Bacteroidota; Bacteroidia; Bacteroidales; Rikenellaceae.
GCCCGCUCAGAAACUUAAAGGAAUUGACGGGGCCGCACAAGCGGAGGAACAUGUGGUUUAAUUCGAUGAUACGCGAGGAACCUUACCUGGGCUAGAACGCAUUCGGAAUCAGGCCGAAAGGCCUGCGCCAGCGAUGGCCGCUUGCGAGGUGCUGCAUGGUUGUCGUCAGCUCGUGCCGUGAGGUGUCGGGUUAAGCCCCAUAACGAGCGCAACCCCUACUGCUAGUUGCCAGCGGGUCAUGCCGGGGACUCUAGCGGAACUGCCAGCGUAAGCUGCGAGGAAGGUGGGGGAUGACGUCAAAUCAGCACGGCCCUUACGUCCAGGGCUACACACGUGUUACAAUGGCCGGUACAGAGGGCAGCCACCCCGCGAGGGGGCGCGAAUCCCGAAAGCCGGUCCCAGUUCGGAUCGGAGUCUGCAACCCGACUCCGUGAAGCUGGAUUCGCUAGUAAUCGCGCAUCAGCCACGGCGCGGUGAAUACGUUCCCGGGCCUU